RNAcentral lists this ribosomal RNA (481 nucleotides) under uncultured bacterium. Its description in RNAcentral is "bacterial SSU rRNA". It matches the Rfam family "Bacterial small subunit ribosomal RNA", at positions 28 to 507 of the family's 1533-position model. The record is from RNAcentral.
GAUGAACGCUGGCGGCGUGCCUAACACAUGCAAGUCGAGCGAGAAGUUUGAAAAUGAGUUUCGAACAAGUGAUUCAAACGGAAAGCGGCGGACGGGUGAGUAACGCGUAGGCAACCUGCCCCGUGCAGAGGGACAGCCUCGGGAAACCGGGAUUAAGACCUCAUGAUAUCGGGGUUAUCACAUGGUAAUCCGGUCAAAGAUUUAUCGGCAUGGGAUGGGCCUGCGUCUGAUUAGCUGGUUGGUGGGUAACGGCCUACCAAGGCGACGAUCAGUAGCAGAACUGAGAGGUUCAUCUGCCACAUUGGAACUGAGACACGGUCCAAACUCCUACGGGAGGCAGCAGUGAGGAAUAUUGCACAAUGGGCGAAAGCCUGAUGCAGCAACGCCGCGUGAGCGAAGAAGGCCUUUGGGUCGUAAAGCUCUGUCCUUGGGGAAGAAACAAAUGACGGUACCCUUGGAGGAAGCCCCGGCUAACUACGUG